AGAUGUGGGACGCGGGAUCCGUAUAAGCUCGGGAUCCGGCUUAUUGAUUUGGAUUUUCGGGUCGGGAGUAUGGGUUUCAGUUUCCUAAUCUCUCUUUUCUUUCACUCUUUCCUUUUCUCUUCAAACCCUAGAUCCAUUCAAUAUUUCUGGCCGUCACGCUCACAGGCGAUUUCUCAUCUCUGUAAUCGGAAUCCAUUCAUACGCUUCUUCCUUCUUUGGUGAUUCUUCAGUUUUAUGCACACAAUUUAAUCUUCCAAUUAAAAGAAAAACAAUUUAUGGGAAAGCUUGGGAAGAAAUUAUGCUUUGUAGUUUGCCCUAUUCGUCUUCACGUCCUUCGUAUACGCCAAGGGUUUCACGAAAUUCGGACAAAAAUUAAGCAUAGCCAACAAAAAUUGAUCAUAGAAUCGAUCAGUAGGCUGGUGUUGAUAAUAAGACCUUUUUUUCUAUUGACAUGAGGCUGUGAUGAACAUGUAUAUGUGAUUCAGAUCGGGGUGCCGCUUAAACUUUCACGUGGCAAAUUGGAUGGAUGGCAGGUGCUCACCUGCAACCUCCAAUGCAGCCAUGUUGGGUCUAUGAUUUUUCAAUUAUACAAUCUGAGAAUUGAAUAACUUAUACCUUCUCACUUUGAUAUCCAGGUAAUAUUGUAUUUAGGUGUAGAUAAUAAGUCCUAAUUUUGUAUUAAAUUAGUAUUUAAUACUUUUGGAUUAGCUUUUAUGGUUAUGUUUUCUGUUUCAGCAUCAUAUUAGGGACCAAAAUGGAAGCAAAUUUUUUAUUUCUUUCUAAAAAAACAACUAAUAGACUUUUGGGCUGUUUAACAUCACUCUGCAAACGCCAAGUCAUGAGGUGCAUUUGUAGCCUCGAAACCAAUUGAAUUCACUGGCACUUCACUUUCUUUUGUUUUCAAUUUUUUUAUUUUUUUACUGUUAUUUAAAAAAACUUAAAAAGAAUACCAACAAAGCUUAUUCGUUCUGGUUAUAUAUAUAUUACGACUAUAUUUUUUUCUCUCUUUCGAACGCAUCGAACCCGACCGGUUUCCACCUGCCUUACAUUCUGUUUCAGCAUCAAUGAAGCUUUCUUUCAAUAUAAAGGUUGUUGAAAUUGUGGUGAGUGGGUUUUAUGUUCAUCAUACUUGAGCAGUUCUGUGUAAUAUAGUCAAAUUAAGUUUUUACGAAUUUGAGUAAAAAUUUAUUCUUACCUAAUUUACUUUACUAAUGUACUUUCAAACUCAUGCAGAUCAAAACUAAAUAGAUCAGAUGUAACUUAUCAAUGUCUGAAGUGAGCUCAUGAAUAAUGUCCAUUAAUGAUCAAGGUAAUACACAUACAUGAAAAUUUGUUCAUCCACUUCUUCCUUCUCUGCCAAAACCACCAUUCUCCGCUUGAUUAAUUGGUGAAUUAGGUAAGAAAUCCUUCGGUCCUUAUUUUAUGAUGUAUAGAUGUGGCAUCGGUGCGUUGCAAGAGUUUGGGUUGUAAUUGGGAGUUUAUGUAUAUGAGUUAAGGUUAAAUCUUCAGUAUGAAGUUUGAGAUUUGUAAAUCACCGACAUGAAAUUCCUUUUUAUAUAUGAAUGGGUCAAUUUGAGUUGCAAUUUUAUCUAAGUUUUACCAAAAGUGUCAAAUAAUUUUUUUAAUAUGUCAAAUAAAUCAUAUAGUUUUUAUUACAUUCCAAUUCUCAAUUUGCUAUACAUAUACUUUCUGAUAAAUCAGUUGUUAACGAACUGUUGAUUCUGUAAUGUUUCACACUCAUGGAUUGACAGGCUAAAAAGAAUGGAAACCAAAUUGACAUAUCAGAGUUUCGAGCUCAGCUUGAUGCAUUGGGUUUGAAAAUUAUAGACGUUACAGCAGACGGAAAUUGCUUUUUCAGGUUUUGAACAUGCCUCUCUGGACUCAUCUAUAUCUUUUUUUAAAGAUUAAUUGGUAGGACCUGCUCCCUCUCAUCGAUAUCCGUGAUGGAUAUCUUGAAAUCACUUUCUUAUUUAAAGACCAGAUUUAUGGUUGAGCUAAAUGGUAUAGUCUCAUUUAGGAAUACUUGGUACCUCAAGAAUACAUCAAUACAUUGAUGGAGUCAAUGUUGAAUAGAUGUCCGACAUCUUCCUUUGUUUUUUAUAGUAUUAAUCUAAAUUUGUUUCAUUUGAAAGAUAUAAUUUUGACUCGGUGGUGGGUCAAACUCAAGAAGCAGUGGCACAACAUGAAUAAAACAGACCAAGGGUGCCGCUUUCUCUGACGUAGAGAGAUUCAAAGAUAACUAACUGUUGUUAUCUGCAGACGGCAGCAACGCUGACUAUGUGUUCCGGUUCAGUGAAGGCAGCCUAGCGGAGUUACGGUUUGGUAAGAUAUGAUGUCGGUUGGAAGUUUUAGGAUUCUGAUGAUGUCUGGUUAACUCCGGUGACCUGAACCAGUUUGGCUGCGAUUUCGACAACAUCAAUCUGAAUAAGUAUUUGAAUCAGGCACCUUUGAUACAACACAUAUGUGUUGCCGGCGAUUGUUAGUUGUUUUGAAGUUUUUGUUAAGGUAUUGAAAUAGUCUUUGUUUUGAAUCUUUUGCAAACAUAUUUCAGAAUGUUGCAGUUAAAAAGUGACGAUGGCAGCCUAGAGGGGUUAAAGUUUGGUAAGAAAUGAUGGCGGCUGGAAGUUUUAGGAUUCUAACGAAGUCUGUUUAACUCCGAUGAGAACUCGGUGACCUGAACCAGGGUUACGCAUGAAGGAGAGGAAGAAGAAAGAUGAACUGUUAAGUUGAAAAGAGGGGUGGAUAUCGUUGUCGGAGCAGUCGGUCGUGUUAAGGAUCACAUUGAGAGAGUGAAUCUUGACUUAUGCUCAUUGAAAUUCUGUAUCCUUGAUGAAGCUGAUGAAAUGUUGAGGCAAGGUCUUACAUCAAAGGGUGCAAGAUUUUCCAACCAUAACUCUGGGAGGCAUUCUGGAUCAAGACAGUGAUGACUUGCGACAUAUACCUGGUGUGAUGACCCCAACAGAAGAAAUUUUUAUCCUGUAUAAAUUGCGAACUACAGGACAGCUUGCGGCAACUCCGCCAUUCCGGUACUCGAACCUGUUCGCUCUCAUAAUCUGGCAGGGAACGUACCGAUGGUGUUGGUUUGUUCUUUUGACGGCCGAUCCGAUGUAGAUGUAUGUGUACUCAUUGGAAGAUUCAUUGGAUUUGAGUUUUUAACGACUCAUUUAAGACUACAACGAUCGCAGUUUUGGUUACGAAUCGAGAUGAAACAUAUAUCAUUGACUGGAAAAUAGCAGAGCCCAUCUGAGAUGAACCAUAAACCAUCGACUAAAAAGGAAGAGUGCCCAAAUGAUACAGUAAAUUAUUUUGCUUUUUAGUUAUAUGCUUGCUUGAUUAUGUGGGAAAACAUUAUAGUAAAAUGAUAAAUUUCAAGUUCUAAGUUUAUAUCCGACACAAUCCGGAUUAAUCUUUGUUUUCAUUGCUGAUUUAUGUAUAGCUUAUUGUGAAUUUUAGAAAAUUUAACAGGAAUGUUUUAUAUAGCAAAUCAUGGAUUAUGAUAGGAAAAGAUGGGAAGUCAUAAUUGAGAUAAAUAAUGAGAUAUGGCGUGUGUGUGUAUUGUAAAAUGGGCAGGUCAAGUAUGUUGGAGCCAGACGCCAUACUAAAUGGCACCAACGAGUUAGCUUUAUAAAACGGGUCGAGAAGGCAAGCUUUUUUAAACACGGAGAACGAUCAUUUUCCUCUUAACGGGUCAAAUGAGUGUAGUAUACUAAAGGGUCAAACAAGAUAGAUUUCUUACUUGUGUAACGGGUCAAACGAGUUUUUUUAAGUAUGUGUUUUUAGCUUAUGCGCUAAACUUAGUUGAGAAAUCUAAAACAAACUAACAAAGCCCGAAAGACCAUACCAAUAACAUUGAUAGGACUGCAAUUAGAGAAUGUAGCAGUACAAGCUGGUAAUGGGUUUAUUUGUAUCAACUCAAAAAAAUAUAGAAAACAUUAGUGCUUGAUGAGAAAUUUAGACAACGGUUAAAUCUACAUGAGAGAUUGUUGACCCGCGUCUUAUUGAUCUGUUUGAGAAUGAUCACUUAUUCAAACUUAUAGAAAUCUAUUUCUUUUUAUGUUUUCCAAAAUAAUUAUUUGCACAUGUGUCCGUUGACAUGGGAGGUGGUUCCAUCCUUGCUUACUUCAGCUCCCCCGACAGAGGAGGUAUUGCCAAUUGUGUAGCUUUUAACUUUUUCAUAGACCCGCUUGGCGAUUCCACACUUCCCUUCUUAUUAACACCUUUGAGCUUUUCUUGAUAGUGGUUUAUAGAUUCUUGUGAUUAUGAUUUUUGGGAUGGAUUUGUUUGAAUUAAGUUGUGGAUCUAUGAUUUCUGAAGAUGCAGAGGUGGAGUGUAGAUAGUGUGGUCCUCAUGUCUGCUUUUAUUUUAAAGAUGUGAAGGUAAACAUAUUUAAUUUCCAUGUUUGACCAAGAAUUCUUAACUCAAAUGUGUUGUAAAAACAUGGACAUUUUGGUUGUA
Molecule: long non-coding RNA, 4455 nt
Organism: Helianthus annuus (common sunflower)
Lineage: Eukaryota; Viridiplantae; Streptophyta; Magnoliopsida; Asterales; Asteraceae
Exons: 13
Source: RefSeq, a predicted model, not a curated record